UCUUUAAAGAAAGAAAAGAGGACAGGGCCUCUCAAGGACCUGGAACUCACUGAAUAGGCUAGGUUGCUGGCCAGCAAGCCCAAUCUGCCUCCUCCUCUAAAGAAAAGCACCAUGUGUUUGUUUUGUUUUGACUUUGUCUUUAACGUGAGUUUGGGGCCUAACCAAAGGUCCUCAAGCUUGUGUAGCAAGUACUUCAACAACUGACCCCUUCUUAAAAUCAAAAAAAAAAAAAAAAAAAAAAAAAAAAAAAAAAUUAUUAUAUAUCUUUUAUAAUGUAAAGAAAAAUUAAAGGUAGGAUGGUGAAAGAAAAAAAUUUCUGAGGGACAGAUUUCCUUCAGAAAGCUANNNNNNNNNNNNNGUGGGGGUGGAGGGUAAGAUCACUGAAUUGCAGAGGUGGGGGUGGAGGGGAAGAUCAUUGAAUUGCAGAGGUAGGGUGGAGGGAAAGAUCACUGAACUGCUCACCAUUCAGAACAGGAAACAAAGACAUACUAAUAACCACAGAGCUUUAAAAUAUAAAAACUAUCUCUGGAGAUCUCUAGAGAAGAUCGGAAUAUUCCCAACAUACCAAACUCCUUAAAGGGUCAGAAAGAGUUAGUUUCUUGUAUCCCUUUUGUGAUUUAAAAUUCUAAAGUUAGUAGUGCUAGAGAUGGCUCCACAGUUGAGAGCUGACUGUUUCUGCAGAGCAUCUGAAUUUGGUUCCCACAGAGCAGUUUCCAAGCUCCAGGGACUCCUGUGCACAAAGGAUCCGCAUCGAGACUCCAAGGUACACACACAUGAACCUAAUUCUUCUAAAGUCGGGAAUAUGGAGGAGCUGGAAAAUGGGUUAAAACACUUGAUCUUCUUGCCAAGGACCUUGGGUCGGUUCCGAGUUCCCUCGGGGCAGCUUACGACCAUUCUUUAACUAGCUUCUAGGGGAUCUGGGAGAUCCAGUGUCCCACAGCAGCACAGACACACAUACACACAUGCAGGCAAAAUACUCAUAUACAUAAAAUAAAAAUAAGGUAUUCUAAUUAAAUAAGGAGAUUACCUAAAAGAACCUUCUGAAAUACUAUUAAUGGCUUCAGAAGACAAUUUAUCUUCCAGGGUGUAAUUACACAGUCUGAUGUUAUAAAUUUAAAAGUUAAAUUUCCAUGAGUCGAUACAAAUAUGAAAGCACAAAGAAACUUAGAAUGAACCUUUGUCUUAGUGAAGUCAUGCACAGUAGAGCAUAUGUGUAAUGUAAGAGACGUGUGCUCCAGGUUGCCAUGGUCUGUGUCCAUAUCAGCCACUUUACCAAGUGAACUCUUGCUCCCCCCAUAAACACAAAACAAAAACCCCAUGUAAUAGCAAAAUACAAGGAUUUUGCUUUAACUCCAGAACAUGUAACUGAGGCAGGAGAUUCGUGAGUUCAAGGAACGUGGGGAUGGGGGAUGGGGAGUGUGUAUGUGAGUGUUAUGGUAGCCACGUGCUACAAACCAUUAAACAGCAGUCAGACAGAGACCGAGAAGGAAGGAUAGAGAAAGAUGAGCAUGGGAUAUUUUACUAUUAUACUUCCAGUUUAAAUUUUCAACAAAUCCUUACUACUUUUUAAAAAGUAGAAAUUUUUAGGACAAACUACUUCUGCAUUAAUCCACCCAGUUCUUUCCCAGUGCCCCACCCUGUAUUUCUGAAAUACCAGUGGUGUUUGAAUGGACCUUACAUCUGUCCAAUUCUAACUCCCACUGGAUGCACAGAACAGUCAAUGUGUUAGUGUGCGUGACUGAGGGGAAAUGCGCUUAUACUGCACUUAAGUCUUCUGCUAGGUUGCUUAGGAACUAGAGCUACUCAUAAAAACCAAAUUACAAGUGAGAUUCCACAUGGUCAGGAAUGCCUGCCCUUACUGUCAUCCACUGUGAAUUUCCCAACCUUUCAGGAGAAGACUUGCCAACACCACAGUAGCUCCAUUUCAGCAGGGAGAAUGGUAACUUUGUACAGCAUACGCCAAGCGGGGUCCAUCAGUAUGACUGUUUCCUCACGAAGGAACAUCUAUAUAACCAGAGAUUAUGCGUCUUUCAUGAGGUAAGCAUGUAGAAAUCACAUGAUCAAUGUGCCCCAGUG
This 2076-nucleotide long non-coding RNA is filed under the name Mus caroli (Ryukyu mouse). Its description in RNAcentral is "lncRNA (MGP_CAROLIEiJ_G0005248.1)". Lineage: Eukaryota; Metazoa; Chordata; Mammalia; Rodentia; Muridae. The record is from RNAcentral.